CUUUAAAGAAAGCGUAAUAGCUCACUGGUCAAGUCGGCCUGCGCGGAAGAUGUACCGGGGCUAAGCUGUGUACCGAAGCUGCGGAUGCAAGCUUGCUUGCAUGGUAGGGGAGCGUUCUGUAAGCCAGUGAAGGUGUGCCGUGAGGCAUGCUGGAGGUAUCAGAAGUGCGAAUGCUGACGUGAGUAACGAUAAAGGGGGUGAAAAACCCCCUCGCCGAAAGUCCAAGGUUUCCUGCGCAAUGUUAAUCAGCGCAGGGUUAGUCGGCCCCUAAGGCGAGGCCGAAAGGCGUAGUCGAUGGGAAACAGGUUAAUAUUCCUGUACCGCAUAUAACUGCGAUGGGGUGACGGAGAAGGUUAGACCAUCCGGGCGUUGGUUGUCCCGGUUUAAGCGUGUAGGGAGUGUUCUUAGGUAAAUCCGGGAGCACAAUUCUGAGACGUGAUGACGAGAUUUCUUUUGAAAUUGAAGUGGUUGAUACCAUGCUUCCAGGAAAAACCUCUAAGCUUCAGGUUACAUGUGUCCGUACCCUAAAC
This 530-nucleotide ribosomal RNA is filed under the name Candidatus Poribacteria bacterium. RNAcentral describes it as "partial 23S ribosomal RNA". It matches the Rfam family "Bacterial large subunit ribosomal RNA", at positions 1121 to 1654 of the family's 2925-position model. The record is from RNAcentral. Lineage: Bacteria; Candidatus Poribacteria.